This 212-nucleotide unclassified non-coding RNA is filed under the name Hevea brasiliensis (rubber tree). The record is from RNAcentral. Lineage: Eukaryota; Viridiplantae; Streptophyta; Magnoliopsida; Malpighiales; Euphorbiaceae.
UGACAAGUGUGAGCCGAUUGUUCCGGCUCCCAACCGAUCAUAGUGUCAUAAAAUAUGCUCAUCUAGUGGAUUUGUUUAGGACGAGUGGCUAUAUCGACCUACUUACUGGGAAAUUCCAGGGCUUAUACCAGUCAGAAUGAUACACAAUUCAAAUCCAGAUGCUUUGUUUUGCCCUUGAAUCAUAUUCCUUAUGCCUAAUAUUGGACGCUUAG